Molecule: long non-coding RNA, 410 nt
Organism: Pecten maximus
Lineage: Eukaryota; Metazoa; Mollusca; Bivalvia; Pectinida; Pectinidae
Exons: 5
Source: RefSeq, a predicted model, not a curated record
GAGCGUGGUCACACAGAAAUUGUUAAGAUACUUCUGGAUAAGGGAGCCGACGUAAAUAAGUUUCAGUCAAAUGCUUUGUCCAGAGCAACUUCGUUAGGUCGCACAGAAAUUGUUAAGAUACUGCUGGAUAAAGGAGCCGACGUAAAUAAGUCCUACGCUUUGAUUGAAGCAGCAUCCAGGAGGUCAUGAAGAUAUCGUUCGGCUACUAUUAGAUAAAGGAGCUGAUUGGAAUCAGCUGCAGUAUUUGAAGGCGAAAGUAGCAAGUGGCCAAGCAAAUAGAAUGGAUGAGUACAAUGUCUACUGGGAUCUAAAUGAGGAUCGGAUUGCCAAAAUCAAGGAGAAAUUAUCGUUAUCAUCGAAGUCAGAAGUCCAAGAACAUUUGUCUGAACAGACACGGCAAGAAAGAGAAG